RNAcentral lists this ribosomal RNA (494 nucleotides) under uncultured soil bacterium. RNAcentral describes it as "bacterial SSU rRNA". It matches the Rfam family "Bacterial small subunit ribosomal RNA", at positions 26 to 517 of the family's 1533-position model. The record is from RNAcentral.
AGAUUGAACGCUGGCGGCAUGCCUUACACAUGCAAGUCGAACGGCAGCACGGGAGCAAUCCUGGUGGCGAGUGGCGAACGGGUGAGUAAUAUAUCGGAACGUGCCCAGUCGUGGGGGAUAACGUAGAGAAAUUUACGCUAAUACCGCAUACGACCCAAGGAUGAAAGCGGGGGACCGUAAGGCCUCGCGCGACUGGAGCGGCUGAUAUCAGAUUAGCUUGUUGGUGAGGUAAAAGCUCACCAAGGCGACGAUCUGUAGCUGGUUUGAGAGAACGACCAGCCACACUGGGACUGAGACACGGCCCAGACUCCUACGGGAGGCAGCAGUGGGGAAUUUUGGACAAUGGGCGAAAGCCUGAUCCAGCAAUGCCGCGUGCAGGAAGAAGGCCUUCGGUUGUAAACUGCUUUUGUACGGAACGAAACGGUCUGGUUAAUACCUCGGCUAAGUGACGGUACCGUAAGAAUAAGCACCGGCUAACUACGUGCCAGCAGCCG